Molecule: transfer RNA, 73 nt
Filed under: Camelus bactrianus (Bactrian camel)
Lineage: Eukaryota; Metazoa; Chordata; Mammalia; Artiodactyla; Camelidae
Also listed under: 2 other names
Rfam family: tRNA
About the family: Transfer RNA (tRNA) molecules are approximately 80 nucleotides in length. Their secondary structure includes four short double-helical elements and three loops (D, anti-codon, and T loops). Further hydrogen bonds mediate the characteristic L-shaped molecular structure. tRNAs have two regions of fundamental functional importance: the anti-codon, which is responsible for specific mRNA codon recognition, and the 3' end, to which the tRNAs corresponding amino acid is attached (by aminoacyl-tRNA synthetases). tRNAs cope with the degeneracy of the genetic code in two manners: having more than one tRNA (with a specific anti-codon) for a particular amino acid; and 'wobble' base-pairing, i.e. permitting non-standard base-pairing at the 3rd anti-codon position.
Source: Rfam by way of RNAcentral
GAGGGUAUAGCUCAAAUGGUAGAGCAUAUGUGUAGCAAGCUUGAGGUCCUGGGUUCAAUCUCUGGUACCUCCU